Non-coding RNA from Camellia sinensis, 1013 nucleotides. Lineage: Eukaryota; Viridiplantae; Streptophyta; Magnoliopsida; Ericales; Theaceae. The record is from RefSeq and is a predicted model, not a curated record.
AGUUGGAUUUUUGUUUGUUAGGUAAGUAGUCAUUUUUGUAUUAUUGAUGAAAAUUUUUGGGUGCUUGAUAUGUAUAUGUAUAUGUUUGUGAUUAAUUAGUCACUAUUAUUUGUAUAGUGUAGGCACUUGCAUUUUCUAUUAGGUGCAAAAUCAAACUUCAAAUUAUAGUCGUGUUCUUUUGGCUUCCAUUGCUGGUAAGUGUUAUACUUUUUUAUCAUAGUAGUGUUUAUGUUUAUUUGUAUUAUCUUCAAGGCCUACUUGCUCACUUUGAUCUUCUCUCUCUUCACUCAAAAUUCUGCAUGAAAUUUCUGAUUUGAAAUAUAUGCAGUGAUGAAAUUAAUAUUCCAGAUAUGAGUAUAUAUUGUAGAUAUGAAGGGGUAUGAGUUUGGAGUGGCCCCUUGAAUGAGUUUUGGCUCAAUGAGUUUCAUGGGUUACUCAGACACCAUCGGUUACUAUGUGGAGUCGCCUCUAAACAAGAUACAUCUCCACUACUUAGUGGUGGACAUUGAUCACAUUGACGACUACGAUUGGGGUGGCACUGCUCUAGUCACCCUCUAUAGAUACGCUAGUGUUGUCAUGCACCGCUGAGAGAUGACCAUCAAAGGGCAUUAGAAACGAUGGAAGGUGUGGCAUCAAAUACCGUGAUGUGCUUCAUCGCGGUGCUUGACAUCACUCUGGUGAGUUGGAGAGGAUUUUGCUAAGGGCCCCUUCUGUCUAGUUUGGUGUUUCAACAAGUGGGGAUGCUGCUAGUCUAUGGGAAUGGCUGCCCCCAGAGUGCUUGCCGUGGUACCAGAUUGCAUGCGGACUACUGACACCUUCACUCCAGAGGACAUCAUACCAGCCAUAGAGGGCACCAAUGUAGAGAUCUUCUAUGGUGUGGCAUCUAAUUCCUUCAUGACCACAACUUCCUUACUAAGUGCAGGCAGAGAAGCAUAUAUGGCAUAGUGCAAUCCAUCCGUCCUCAAUAUUGUGAUCAAUUUACUGCGCAUGCACCUUGUGUGAGAUAAGAGUGU